Phascolarctos cinereus (koala) is the source of this 3151-nucleotide non-coding RNA. Lineage: Eukaryota; Metazoa; Chordata; Mammalia; Diprotodontia; Phascolarctidae. The record is from RefSeq and is a predicted model, not a curated record.
UUCGUUACUCGCUCUCUGCCCCGGACGAAGUAGGGAGGACGCCUUCGGCUCGCAAAGGGGCACGGCUCUGUUUGCUGGCUACGAUGCUGUGUGGUGCCCGGCAGCAGCUGCGGAGGCGGCUCUUACCCGCCCUCCUGGGGAGCAGAGGCUGUCCGGCAGGGCGGGGUGAGCCGCUGGGCAACCCCAACCCCCUCCUGCCUGUGGCCGCCUGUGCUUAUGGUGCGGCCGCGGGGCCGGCCGGGGCCGGGGGCUGGUACGAGACCCUGGCCACGUCAGCCCCAGCACACUGGGCGGAGGCGGUGCUAUUGGGAGCGCAGGACGCCACCGGGCUGCCGUGGUGGGCCAGCAUUAUCGUCACCACCACGGCCUUGAGGAGCGCUGUCACGCUGCCCCUAGCCGCCUACCAGCAUUACAUCCUGGCCAAGGUGGAAAAUUUGCAACCAGAAAUAAAAAUGAUUGCAAAAAAUCUUAAUUAUGACAUUGCACUUCGAGCAAAACAGUUGGGAUGGUCAAAAAGACUAAGUAGGCUCACUUACCUGAACAACAUGAGGAGGAUUGUUUCAGAGCUGUAUAUUCGGGAUAAUUGUCACCCAUUCAAAGCCACUCUGCUGGUAUGGAUUCAGAUACCAAUGUGGAUCUUUAUGUCUGUUGCCUUGCGGAACUUCAGUCUAGGGAUAACGGAUUCAGAAGGAGGCUUUUCUAUUCGGGAACAAUUUUCAACAGGUGGAGUCCUGUGGUUUCCGGACCUCACCCUGCUUGAUUCCACAUGGAUUCUACCAAUCUCAGUUGGUAUGCUGAAUUUGUUAAUAGUGGAGAUUUUUGCAUUACAAAAACUUGAAAUGUCCCGCUUUCACAAGUAUGUCACACAUUUUGCUCGUGGAAUAUCUGUGCUGAUUAUUCCCAUUGCUGCAACUGUGCCCUCAGCUAAGACCUAUCCCAGACAAUGGUCAUUUUCCCAUUAAACUACAAAACAGCUAUGGAGUUCAGGAGUUUCCUCGUUUUUGCUUCUGAAUUUUUCCCACUUGUCCAUGGAAGUAAGUGGGCAGAGAAAGAGAUACACAGUCUUGUCCUCGGUGGUGAAAAUCAACUUGACCAAGAGAGAAAGGAAGUACUUGUCACUAUGAGGGAGGAAGCUUGCCUGACCUCUCAGAUUGGUCAUCUGUCAUUCAUUGUAAAGAGCAAAGUGGGAGCAGUGAAAUACUAAAUGAAAGAAAAUAUGAAGAGGAUUGACGCUGAAGCCAUUGCCACAGCUUCCCGGGCACCUGGAUCCAAAACCGAUAGGGCACAAGCAUAGAUAACAUCUUGUGAGAAGAAAAAGCCUUACAGAAAGGAACUCUGGGUCCAGAUUUUAGCAAAUGCCUGAACCUGCGCAGAAACCAAGCGUGAACCACAGAUGACAUUUGCUUUUAUCAGAAUGAGGCAGAAGAAACUGAUUCCAGAUUUUUCAAGUACUUGGAGCCUACCUGAUGAAGGGAAAGGUCAAAGCAUGUUCAAGCUAGUGAUGGUGAUCACUGACAAUGAUCUUUCCAAUUAAUAUCGGAAUGAAUAUCUACCCAAGUAUUUAUUUCCAUGACACUCACCAGAGGCCUUAGUUUGGCCACCUAGACAAGCCAUCACCCUAAAGCCCAAAUUCUCCAUUUCUGAGAAAUUUCUAUAUGUACUUUCUAGCUCCCUUGAUCCUUCAAAUGGUUUCUCCGUGCCUCCCUACCUCCCUUUCUUCACUUUAAUCUUUCUUGAAAUAAAUGCAUGCUGGCUGAGCAUUUUCCAGAGGUUGAGGGAGAAAGUUUCUCUCUCAAUACUGUCCCCUUUCUAAAGAGAAGAAGCAGAGGGGAACCUGGAAACACGAUGUCUCAUCUUUUGUUCUACCUGACUUCCUGGCUGCCCAGAGAAUAGAAAAUGCCAUUCUAUCCACGUUUUCCCCCCAGCUCAGCCAACACACAGGCCACUGUUGUUGGGCAAACGGUAAAAUCCAGUGUUUAUGGCUUGUCAUUGCUGUUCAGACAUUUCCAGCUAGCUUUUAGGAAGAACAGACAACCAAAAGAGCCCCUCUUAAGUCUUUUAUUGAUUUUACAGUUCAAUUAAAUAAACAUAUGUCAAAAUGCACAGGGCUGGUGAGUGAGCGUAAUCCUCAAGAAUGACAUGGUUGAACUCGACCUUCCUUGUAGCCAUGAAGAAUUCUUUAACCUUUCCUUCCAUUUCAUGCAGCCCAGUUUGGUGAAUUGGUAUUAUUUUUCUUAUUAAGUCAUUGCCACAGCUGUCCGUCAACUGCUGCCUUUGGUCCAAGAGAAGACUUCUUAUUCCUGAGGUUAGUUAUUUCUGAAGCUCUCCAGAUUCAAAUCCACUGCAUUCUCUUCCAAAUCCUCACACUUAUUUCCAUUUUCAAAUAUAGUCCUAAAGCCAGCUGGUGAGCUUGACAUUUGGGCAUUUCCAUCAUUUGGGUUAGGCUUUCCUCUUUGUGGGCCAAAUUCUUCCUCCUCGUGUGCACAGAGACGUAGCAGAAAAGGAAGAUGAAAAGAAACCAGCCGCACAGGGAUGAGAGAGAGCAUAGGAGGGCCGUCCCUCUUCUUGAACUUUGAAAACCCAAUAGAAAAAAAAACCCCAAAACCAAACUUUCAACUACUUUCCAGCAUCCUCAACGCCACAAACACCUGAUGUUUGUCUUUCCUGGGGGAAGCCAAGAUGUCAGUGUCACAGGGGCCCUGUAGAGUUUGGCAUGCUGAGGUUUCCCCUAAGUAAUUAUUUCCUUGAUCAUAUCCACGUCAUGAACAGCUGUGUGAGUCAGGAGAGGCAGGUCAGCUCAUAGAAAUGAGUCAUUAAACCCUGCCUCAGGGUCCGAGAAGGGAACAGAUUGACUUGGUUUUCAAAUGUGCUGUUCUCUAUGUUUAUCCUAUAUGUACAUAUCUAUCUUUCUAUCUAUCUAUUGAUGUAUCAUAUUUUUAUUUGUUUUGUUAAAUUUUUCCCAGUUGCAUUUUAAUCUGCUUCAGGCUGCACAUGUGAGUGUUGAGGGCCCCAGACUACCCCCAUAGGAUAGGUGUUUGGCACUUUUGAUGUCGUGGCUAGAGAGCUGACUUCAUUUUUGUAUGGGUUGGGGAAGCAAUUGGGAUUAAGUGACCUUUCCAGGGUCACACAGCUAGUAAAUGUCUGAGGCCAG